Molecule: long non-coding RNA, 4650 nt
Filed under: Homo sapiens (human)
Lineage: Eukaryota; Metazoa; Chordata; Mammalia; Primates; Hominidae
Description: PREDICTED lncRNA (TCONS_00147593)
Source: RNAcentral
UGACAAUGAGAAAGGAGAAAACAUUUCAUACAGAAUAUGCUGUAUCACUAGUGAUUAAAUCAGAAACAAUUAGAAACUUUAUUUGUCUGUGUCAGUAAUAUGUACCAUUUAUAAGGAAGAGCACAAUUAGUGCAUUUCCCGCCCCCCCCCCAAGCUGUGCACAAUACACACAAAAUAAAAUAAUUUUACACAACUAUAAUAAUAACAAUCCUGAACAACCAGAAUCAUAGUUUCCUAGAACAUGAAAAUUUAAAAAGCAAACAAACCAAAAAGCUUUCAAAUUGAAAUCGACCAAUGCAAGAAUUUCUUAAAGUUCUCUGUGAAAAUUUGCUACAGGAUUAUUGACAUUCCUAAUACAGCUAAAAAAUGAGUGCAAAAAUUUUUCUAAUGUUUAAACAACUUAUAUUCCUUGAAUAUAUUUACUUGGUGCUUCUAGGCUAGCUUUCCAUUUAGCAAUUCUCAAAAAAAAAAAAAAUAAGGAUGGGAAGGAUGGGUUAGAAUGACAAAGAAUUGUAAAGUGUGGGCCAUAGAAAAGUUCCAUUGCCAACAAAGAUAAAAGAUGGGAUACACUGGGCUUUCUCAGUGAUCUGGAUCACCAACAUGAUUGCCCUUCUUGGUUUAAAAUGGAGAGAUAUAUUUAUCUGCAAGUCGGUCAAAGAUAAAGAGGGUGGUUUUCCAAACAUAUGCCUUAUGCUCUCUUAGUUAAAGAAAUUCUUGGGUAUAAAUACAAUUUGGACAAUUGCUUUGAUACAGUUUCAGUGUGUUUAUGUUAAAAGAGUUUCAUAAUUGUUUUUUCUUGCAAGAUAAAAAUCUUUCCAUAUGGCUUUCUUCACUUUUACUCAUGAAAAUAGUAAUCACAUAAACUGUAACCCUUCUGAGGGCAGGGAUCUAGACUGUUUUGUUCAUGGCUUAGUCCCCAGAAAGUAUCAUACUACCUGGCACAUUAAGUGGGUAACCAGCAUUUAAUUACUCAUUCAGUCACCAAAUGUUUAUUAAAUGAGGAAGGAUCAUGGUUACUGAGUGACAGAAGAAAAAAUAAGUCUCAACAGCUUUAAUUUAUUAAGUAUUUUUGAAUCAAUACAGAGGGCUAGGAAUGUCUCCAGCCUGGGAUUCCUUAUAGACACAGAAGUCUCCGAGAGGUGACCAAAGUCAUUCUAUUAUUUUUCUCAUUAGUGGACUCACUACUUUGGAAUGUUGGGUUUAUCCAUGUUCUUUGGUAUUUUAACAUAGAAACAGCUAUUCUUUUUAAAGGGUUAAAAAUAUCCCAGUCCAAUCCUCCUGGGAGGUACUAGUCUUAUUUAAUUGCCUUCUCUUUCAGCAUAAGUAGAGGAGACAACACUUUUAAAGGCCCGUUGGUCACCCUGGCUUCUUUCUUACUCAGCAACUACUGAUAUAAUCAAAGAGGACUAGACUGGACAGUGAAAGAAACAGGGCUCAAAAUAGCCUUUUAAGUAAAAAAAUAAAAUGAACAAACCAGCACUAUCUACCAUCUGUGCCAGACAGUGCAGAUGUGAAAUAAAUACUUUGCAGGGAGGGGUGUUGUGGAAAGGGUGGCUCUGAAAGCCUAGGCACAUCCAACAUAUCAACGUCUCUAUAAGGCCUUUCUCCUUGGCCUUCCUGAAUUAAUGGGUGAUUUUUAGAGGCCUCUGAUGUGUUCCACAUGGCUAAUUUUCCAUGAAGAUCUUUGUAGUUUGCCUGCUAUCCUCUCAAUAGCUUUAACUUCUCCCCACAUGACAGUUAUUGCUUCUUAGAAAUGAAUGUGCAGAACCGUGAACAAUAAUCCAUUUUCUCCUUUUAUCCCUAGUAAUUAAUCAAACUCAAUAACAGCACAAAAGUAACAACUCAGGUGAAAAGAAAACUCACUUAUGUCUUCAAUGUCCAAUCAACAUUGCCAAAUGGGAGAACAGUAUGUACUAUACUCUACUAUAUACAGAUACUCUUUGUUUUGUUUUAUUUGUUUUUCACCAUGCACUGUGUAACAGGUAUCACAACAACAUUUCCGAACGGCACAUGAAGAAGGAGCAAAUGUUCAGUCAUGACUGGAACAGGAUUGUGCAAGCCAUGGAUGCCUUUGAAAAUAAAACUGACAGACAAUCCCAAGCAACGGCAACAUGGGACUGAGACACAUGUUAAUGCAAAUGGAAAACGAUGAUGUGCUUUUUGAAUGGGGUUAUUCUUACUGUUUGCAUAGGGGAUGGCAGGUGGACAGGAGGAACAGGGUUGGGAUGGGGCACCUGGGGGCUUAGCUGGGCUGAAUGCUGGAAGAAGGACCUUGCCAAUCACAGUCCAGAGCUAAAGAGAUAAGAAAGAAAGGAUUUUGCACGUUCCUGGGAAUCUAGGCACGUUUUCCUUGUACCUGUUAAACGAGACUGCCAGGUAUCACAUGUUUAAAUAUCAGACUAUUUCUAGAACCAUCGGAUUUCCUGGCUCCAUUCCACUUUUAUGCUUCUUCUUGGAGGCAGCUUCACCUCCACUCACAUUCCGGAGAUAAGCAUGAACUUUGGUAAUACGAUGAAGACAUGCUUCUUUCUUCUUCCAUGCCCAGAUUUUUUCUUAAUCCAAAAUAAGUUUUAAAGUGAUUGGGGGAGGUGAGGGGGAAUACUAAUGAUUUAAAUUUUUACCAAAACCCAUUUACAUUUGGAUGGUUUCACUUUCCACAAAGAAAAGCAACAACCCUGACUCUCCCAAAAAAACAAAACAAAACAAAAUAACAAAAAUAAAGCCAAACAUUAACUACCUCCCCAGCUCCACUGAAAACAAAACCAAAAACAAAACAAAUCAAAGCCUUAAGGAUUUAUCAACCUGGAGAGAGUGCAGCCCUUCUAGACUGAGCUGCAAAGAUGGCCCUGCCUCCAUGCCUUGUUGAACAUGAUGAUGCCCCUGGGAAUGGGAGGUGAUGGUUUUUUACUUCGGCCCUAGUACAGAGUAUGCUCUUGAAGCUGGAUUCCAUCAGCAGGAAAAUCUUGGUCCACUACAGAAGGUUGAACAACAGUGACUUAAACUUCUUGAUGGGUAGAACACAGGGGUUUAGAGCACAUUUGAGCUGGGGGACUUCAAAUCCUGCCUUCGCAGCUGACUGUGUGACUCUGGAAGAUUACUUAACUUCUCUGGGCCUCAAUUUCCUAAUCUGUUAAAUGGGGAUGGUACUGCUCACUUCAGAGUGCUGUUGUUCAUUUCAGGUGGCCCUGUUCCUUUCACUCAGAAACUUUGAAGCAGGUUCUUACCAAAUGCUCUUUACUGUAUCAGGAGAACAAAGAUUGAAGAAGGUAUGGGCAGUUUGUGAAUCCAGACUCCUGGAUUUGUGCUGCUUUGUGCAUUCAUGAUCACACAUUCACACAGCCCAAUCAACUAUCACAGAGACUGGAAAAUCUCAAGACCUGAAGAUACUACCUUUGAUCAAACUGUGACAAUAUUUAUGGAAUUAAACUACAUGGCACAGUCAUUUACCUUUUAAAAUUAGGUGUCCAAGAGAGAAUCCAAGGGGUGCUGACAAGGUCUAGAUAACUGAUACAUUUGACAACGGACAGAGUGUCCAAGGAAAAUAUCAAGAAGCUUCAUCAUGUUCAACUCCGACUGUGACUACACAAUGCUCUCAAAUCUCCAGGCAGCCUCUAUUGAUUGAUCUGAGUUGGCAGAUGAGUUGGCAGGUUUUGGAAAUCACUAGUGGGUAAAAAAGACCAAUUUGCAACUAGGCUCUCAUGCUCUGUUGAAAACUAUGUCACAAUAUCACAAUACUAGAUGCUGGGCUCAAGACAGCAAACAGAAAGCAGCAAGGGCAGUGACUGGAAGCUGGGAGAGAGGGUCAACAGCUGAAUCUCAGCCUGAUGGAGGCCACCAUUUAAUAAGUAAAUACAUGCACGGCUAUUUAGAUCCUGCAUCAGACAGGUCAUCAGAAAACAUGAAGCUAAAUGCAGUAAAGAAUUACUCUCUUGAACUCUUGAAAAUAUCAAAAACAUGAAGCUAAAUGCAGUAAAGAAUUAGUCUCUUGAACUCUUGAAAAUAUCAUUUUCUUAUAGAAAUGGUUUAAAAAUUUCUUUUUUAUUAUUUCUAAUUUUCCUUCAGAAAAUUGUGAGUUUUAACCUACAACACAUACACUCCAAGGUAAUGCCACUCUAAUGCUGUCUAGUUGAUCUGAAUAACUAACUGGUCAAUUAUCAGAUCCACCAAACUGUCUCUCUGGAGAUUAACUUCUGCCAGCAUAUUGGUUUCUGUUCAUUUUCACAAGAUUGACAGGCUCAUUACAGCAAUAUUAACAUCUUCCUUUGAGCACUCACACUGUGCAAUUGUAAUUUUGCAUAUGUUGAUGAGCAGGCAAUUACAUCAAAGAGUGAACACUGGGCUGAUGUGCAAGGCACUAUUUAAUUAUAAAAACAGUAUAGGAUUGAGCCCUGUCACUGAGUCUUCCAUUCCUUCUAUCUCGCCUGUUUCUAAUUUAUUUCUCUAUUUCUUCAUUUCUUCCUUGACUGUCUUCAUUCUUUGCUUUUUAUUUCUUUCUCCUUAAAUGACAGACCUUUUCUUAGAUGCCAUUUCUCUAUGUCUGCGCUUAAGACAAGAAUUUUUUUCCUCCUAGUUGUUGGUUAAUGUCUGCAAAUGUGAGAGCAUGUUAACAUGACAAACAACAAGGAAUUUGAAAUAAACUUAAAUGAAACA